RNAcentral lists this ribosomal RNA (253 nucleotides) under uncultured bacterium. RNAcentral describes it as "partial 16S ribosomal RNA". It matches the Rfam family "Bacterial small subunit ribosomal RNA", at positions 524 to 776 of the family's 1533-position model. The record is from RNAcentral.
UACGAAGGGGGCUAGCGUUGCUCGGAAUCACUGGGCGUAAAGGGCGCGUAGGCGGCCAUUCAAGUCAGAGGUGAAAGCCCAGGGCUUAACCCUGGAAUUGCCUUUGAUACUGUUUGGCUUGAGACCGGAAGAGGUAAGUGGAACUGCGAGUGUAGAGGUGAAAUUCGUAGAUAUUAGGAAGAACACCAGUGGCGAAGGCGGCUCACUGGUCCGGUACUGACGCUGAGGUGCGAAAGCGUGGGGAGCAAACAGG